UACAUCCUUAGGCCUAAUUCCUAAAAUAGGCUACGAUUGCAUCUGGGUUGGAUAAACCAUACACACCAUAGACCACCUCUGGGUUGGAUAAAUCAUAGACACCAUAUCAUACCAACCUCCCAUAAGUUUCAUGUUUGCUCUGCAUAAAAGGGGCAAUGUUGGGAUUAUUUGGUCUAGCCUCCAUGUCCUACAUGGGUCUUACUUGCUUAUUCCAGUUAUCACAUACACCACAUUUUUCUCUAGAAAGCACGACAUACAUUUUUCGCCGAAUAUUUCAAACAUAACGAACACUACAUCACAAACUCAGUAACAUAUGGUUGAAACACACAACUUAGUAUUUCUCCCAAAACGAGAGAGAAGUUAUUACACUCAGCUGCCCAACCAUAUGUGAACACAUCAUGCAUCGCCGGAUCCAACAAUUCUCAUUUUG
This 430-nucleotide long non-coding RNA is filed under the name Triticum aestivum (bread wheat). Its description in RNAcentral is "long non-coding RNA (TAES_LNC014355)". Lineage: Eukaryota; Viridiplantae; Streptophyta; Magnoliopsida; Poales; Poaceae. The record is from RNAcentral.